This is a non-coding RNA of Prunus mume (Japanese apricot), 468 nucleotides long. The record is from RefSeq and is a predicted model, not a curated record. NCBI's taxonomy places the organism in Eukaryota, Viridiplantae, Streptophyta, Magnoliopsida, Rosales, Rosaceae.
CUAUCUCCUGGGAGGUAUCUUUGGCCUCCCUGUGAUUUGUUUGUAUUGCUCUGGGGUUCUCCCCUGUCCCUGUAUGCCUUUUCUUGCAACUUCCUGUUUGGUGCUGCUAAAGCCUUCUCUGGCUUUUUAAUGAAGUUUUAUUCUGACCAAAAAAAAAGCCUGGGAUGAUAAUUGUUCUGUGGUGAAACAGAGGAGAAUGGCAAAGAAAGAAGCUAGGCGUGGAAUAGCUGCCAGGAAAAUGAUAAUAAAUUUUGAAACAGGAAGAUGGGAGGUUGGCUGCCGGGCAUCGUGAAAGAGUUUAGUGUUCUCCUCUGGGUCUCUACAUUGUCCCCGGUCCUACCUACCCAGAGACCAACUCUGAUCAAAAGAAAAUAAUCUCCCUAAGCAUUUACUUUGACUCGUUUCACUCUGUUAGCUAGAUUGUUGACUCUAAAAUAAAUGCUGAAUUACAUUUGGGUUUUGUGUUCA